RNAcentral lists this long non-coding RNA (533 nucleotides) under Cricetulus griseus (Chinese hamster). RNAcentral's name for it is "lncRNA (ENSCGRG00015037009.1)". Lineage: Eukaryota; Metazoa; Chordata; Mammalia; Rodentia; Cricetidae. The record is from RNAcentral.
GAAAAGGAUUCUUUGGCUUACAGGAAAAGCCGAAGCAGGAAUUCAAGGAAGGAACCAUGGAGGUUGCUACUUACAGGGUGGACACACACCUCUGCGCAUGUGUGGAGGACAAUGUUGGGGAAUAGGUUCUCUCCUUCUGCCAUGUGGGCGGGUUCUGUGAUCAAACUCAGGUCUUCAGACUUGGAUCCACACACCUUUACCAGCGGUGCCACCUCCCCAGCCCUUCUGGAACGCAUCCUAACGUGCAUUCUCAGAAGGAAACAGGAGAAGGUUCUGGGGAUUGAAAUCAGCUCACCAGGCUUGCUGGCCAGUGUGUUAACCCUCUAAGCCAUCUUGCCAGCCCCAAGAUCAGAGAAAUGAAUAGGUCUUGCCUGAGUUCCCACAGCUGGCAAAUGGAAGGGCAUCUAAGGCCAGACUAAAGGAAGGAACAGGAUCUGGGUAAGGCCAAUUUGGGGCCCAAACACCCCUUGAAAUAGUUUCUGAGAGGGGCUUGCUGCUGUUCAUUUUGGAAAAGACGAAGUGGUAUACCUACC